UCAUAUGCUUGUCUUAAAGAUUAAGCCAUGCAUGUCUAAGUAUAAGCUUUUAUACGGCUAAACUGCGAAUGGCUCAUUAAAACAGUUAUAGUUUAUUUGAUGGUCUUUACUACAUGGAUAACCGUGGUAAUUCUAUGGCUAAUACAUGCGCACAUGCCUCUUCCCCUGGAAGGGCAGUGUUUAUUAGAUACAGAACCAACCCACCUUCCGGUGGUCCUCAGGUGAUUCAUAGUAACCGAACGGAUCGCGUUGACUUCGGUCUGCGACGGAUCAUUCAAGUUUCUGACCUAUCAGCUUUCGACGGUACUGUAUUGGACUACCGUGGCAGUGACGGGUAACGGGGAAUUAGGGUUCGAUUCCGGAGAGGGAGCCUGAGAAACGGCUACCACAUCUAAGGAAGGCAGCAGGCGCGCAAAUUACCCAUCCUC
This 428-nucleotide ribosomal RNA is filed under the name Toxoplasma gondii ME49. Its description in RNAcentral is "Toxoplasma gondii rRNA TGME49_457310". It matches the Rfam family "Eukaryotic small subunit ribosomal RNA", at positions 24 to 452 of the family's 1831-position model. Lineage: Eukaryota; Apicomplexa; Conoidasida; Eucoccidiorida; Sarcocystidae. The record is from RNAcentral.